Candidatus Buchananbacteria bacterium is the source of this 73-nucleotide non-coding RNA. NCBI's taxonomy places the organism in Bacteria, Candidatus Buchananiibacteriota. The record is from Rfam.
GCCGUUGUAGCUCAGUUGGUAGAGCAACUCCAUGGUAAGGAGUAGGUCAUCGGUUCAAGUCCGAUCAACGGCU